RNAcentral lists this ribosomal RNA (116 nucleotides) under Pteropus alecto (black flying fox). Lineage: Eukaryota; Metazoa; Chordata; Mammalia; Chiroptera; Pteropodidae. The record is from RNAcentral.
GUCUAUGGCCAUGUCACCCUGAAUAAGCCCGAUGUCUGAUCUCAGAAACUAAGCAGGGUUGGGCCUGGUAAGUACUUGGAUGGGAGACCAUCUAGGAAGACCAGGUGCUGUAGGCG